This 89-nucleotide transfer RNA is filed under the name Thermoprotei archaeon. RNAcentral's name for it is "tRNA-Val". Lineage: Archaea; Thermoproteati; Thermoproteota; Thermoprotei. The record is from RNAcentral.
GGGCCGGUCGUCUAGUUGGCUAGGAUACUAAGCAGCCUGAACGCCGCCUGACGCGCGGCGGGUCCCCGGUUCGAGUCCGGGCCGGCCCA